This 496-nucleotide ribosomal RNA is filed under the name uncultured bacterium. Its description in RNAcentral is "partial 16S ribosomal RNA". It matches the Rfam family "Bacterial small subunit ribosomal RNA", at positions 29 to 507 of the family's 1533-position model. The record is from RNAcentral.
ACGAACGCUGGCGGCGUGCCUAAUACAUGCAAGUUGAGCGCUGAAGGUUGGUACUUGUACCAACUGGAUGAGCAGCGAACGGGUGAGUAACGCGUGGGGAAUCUGCCUUUGAGCGGGGGACAACAUUUGGAAACGAAUGCUAAUACCGCAUAAAAACUUUAAACACAAGUUUUAAGUUUGAAAGAUGCAAUUGCAUCACCCAAAGAUGAUCCCGCGUUGUAUUAGCUAGUUGGUGAGGUAAAGGCUCACCAAGGCGAUGAUACAUAGCCGACCUGAGAGGGUGAUCGGCAACAUUGGGACUGAGACACGGCCCAAACUCCUACGGGAGGCAGCAGUAGGGAAUCUUCGGCAAUGGACGAAAGUCUGACCGAGCAACGCCGCGUGAGUGAAGAAGGUUUUCGGAUCGUAAAACUCUGUUGGUAGAGAAGAACGUUGGUGAGAGUGGAAAGCUCAUCAAGUGACGGUAACUACCCAGAAAGGGACGGCUAACUACGUG